GCCAGUGUGGUGUAGUGGUUUGAGAGUUGGACUAUGACUCUGGAGACCAGGGUUCAAUCCCCCACUUGGCCA
Molecule: non-coding RNA, 72 nt
Organism: Phrynosoma platyrhinos (Desert horned lizard)
Lineage: Eukaryota; Metazoa; Chordata; Lepidosauria; Squamata; Phrynosomatidae
Source: the annotation of a GenBank genome assembly